GACGAACGCUGGCGGCGUGCCUAACACAUGCAAGUCGAACGGAGAUAUUUAUUUCGGUAGAUAUCUUAGUGGCGCACGGGUGAGUAACGCGUGAAUAACCUGACCCGAAGAGGGGGAUAACACCUGGAAACAAGUGCUAAUACCGCAUAAGACCACGGACCGGCAUCGGUCAGAGGUCAAAGGAGGAAUCCGCUUUGGGAGGGGUUCGCGUCCCAUUAGGUAGUUGGUGAGGUAACGGCCCACCAAGCCGACGAUGGGUAGCCGAGCUGAGAGGCUGAUCGGCCACACUGGAACUGAGACACGGUCCAGACUCCUACGGGAGGCAGCAGUGGGGAAUAUUGGGCAAUGGGCGCAAGCCUGACCCAGCAACGCCGCGUGAGGGGAAGAAGGUUUUCGGAUUGUAAACCUCUGUCGCAGGGGACGAAGGAAGUGACGGUACCCUGUAAGAAAGCCCCGGCUAACUACGUGCCAGCAGCCGCGGUAAUACGUAGGGGGCGAGCGUUGUCCGGAAUUACUGGGCGUAAAGGGAGCGUAGGCGGUCGAUUAAGUUAGAUGUGAAACCCCCGGGCUUAACUUGGGGACUGCAUCUAAUACUGGUUGACUUAGAGUACAGGAGAGGGAAGCGGAAUUCCUAGUGUAGCGGUGAAAUGCGUAGAUAUUAGGAGGAACACCAGUGGCGAAGGCGGCUUUCUGGACUGACACUGACGCUGAGGCUCGAAAGCGUGGGGAGCAAUC
This 735-nucleotide ribosomal RNA is filed under the name uncultured bacterium. RNAcentral's name for it is "bacterial SSU rRNA". It matches the Rfam family "Bacterial small subunit ribosomal RNA", at positions 28 to 773 of the family's 1533-position model. The record is from RNAcentral.